CUCUCUUUGCCUCUCCCCUGCUUGCUUGUGCUCUCUGUCUCUGUCUCUGUCUCUCUCUCUCUCUCUCUGUCUCUUUCAAAAUAAACAAACGUUUUUUAAAAGUAUUUUGUCUCAUAGAAAGUGACCAGAAUAAGUUGUUUCAAAAGAUAACAAAGGACUAUUUUAUUUACUGGAUUUUUUUUUCAUAUGGUUGAACAUUAGUUAUGUAUGGCGAAAAAAAAUCCAAGUACGUGAAAUCUUAUUCUAAUAUUUUUCAAAUACUUCCCUGAAACAUAUUAGAACAUUCUGAGACCAUAAACCAGAAUCAAAAGCCCCUGAGAGACUUACAUUUUCCUGUCCUCGAGUUCCAGUUACAGCCUUAAAAAUUAUCUAAAUUAGCUCAUCCGUCUCAAAUCGCUGUGGCUAGAUGUAACCAAGGCACCGAAACAACACGAAAUGGCCUCAGUCCAGUCUUCAAGUCAAGAUAAGGAACAAAUAUGGAAACCCAGAAAAUUGAUAAGGCAAUGACAGAAAGUCCUCUUAAAUCAGAUGACAAGUUCUGGGGAACGCCUUUUUUUUUUUUUUCUAGUUUAAAUGAGAUCCCAUUAGAGCCUUGACUUUGGCAGUGCUGCUUUGCUACAUUUUAUUUCUCAAUUGCAGUCCGUUCUCAAAAUGUGGAUCAUUGAAUUACGAAUUUGCUGAAUUGGAUUUGAAAGCAAAACCAUGUAAGGCAAAAACACAACUGAAUUAGCGAUCUAACAAGCAGCAGGCAGGCUAGCUAGAGGGGCUUGCAGGAGAGGCAGACGUUUUCACCGAGAACCCACCCACGACUGGGUCACUGCAGACCUUAUCCAAGUUAAAUUGUUUGCAAAAUGCCUCCCUCGAACCCUGAUUAGUGGCCGCAUUUGGCAAUUACUCGAGUGAUCCUAAACGUGUCCCCCCGCCCCGGGACUUUGGAAGCACCGUACCCAGAGCGUCCACAUUCCCCUUCAAAGUAAAACACAGAGUCCUCGUUCCCUCCACGCACGAACUCUAAGCAGGUGCCGCGAAAGGCCUUGGGGAACUCGAGCUCGGCUGCCAUCCUCUCCCCGUGGGCCUUCCCCCCAGGACCCCCCUGUGGGCUGCCUCUUGUCAGCACGGCCCUGCCGGCGACGUCCCUUGCAAAUAAAUCAGCGGAAGUUCCAGGCCCACGGAGGAGGCUGCGGUCACCGACGGUGCAACACGCUGUCCGAGGCACUGGCUUGUCAGAGGCACCGGCUUAUUUCACUGCUGAGUGCGUGGGGCGCCUCCAAGGCCUCACCGCUGGGUUCCAUCCAGUCUGUGACCCAGUCUGUGGGGGAGGAGGUCCAGGGCCGGGAAACGCCAGCCCCAGAGCCACGGUCGGAGCCCUCGGAGAGUAGUGACCGAGCUACUCGUUUUGUGCUGAUACCUUCUUCCGGUGAUCGUUCGACACAACUAACCGACUCUGUCGCUCCCGCGGGAGACUUUACAUGCCUCCCCGAAUCAAAACGGGAGUCACCUAUCCGUCCAGCAAACAGAGAAGAAGCGCCUCUCGUAUGCCGUGAACCCGACAGACACAGAUCCCUCCCACUGCCGAACUUCCUUCCUGGCGACAGAGACAGACGUGGAUCGGAAAACACAGCAAACAGGUAAAUUGUACGGUGUGUCAGGUGCUAAGUGCUAAGGCAGAAGGAAGAACUGAGAGCGGAGAAAGAUUUGGAAACAUGAGCGCUUGGCGAGGGAGGGAGGUGUGAGCGGGUGUCAUGUUUGUAGAACAAUCUAUCAAAUCACAAAAACAAAAUCACCAGCAGGCAAGCCACGAAGGUCUUCAGUCCUGCGCAAUGCCAGCUAAAAUCUGGCCGUCUCCACCCCACCCCCAGGACGGCUGUGGUUUCAUCACCACUGCAUAAAUACGCAAAGAAGGCCGGAUUUCAUUCCGAGCCACUGGGCAUCCGCUCUGCCCUAACAGCGUUCUCGCCAGGCAACUUUAGGCUUAUGUCACUUGAAGCAGGAAUUCAGGCGGUCCCCAACAGGAGCCACCACAGAGAUAAUAACUGCCCUCUGAGGACAAAUUAGGCGACAGGAGCAGGGUUUCCACAUCAACGUCGACACGCGGCGGGUUUUUCUGUGUCCGACAAGGCUGAAUUUGCCAGCUGAGCCUCCGAGUAAACGGACGCUGUCUGUAUUUUAGAAAAAAUGAAAUCACACGCAUCGAUUUCUCUCAUAGUGAGGAGGCUUACACAAAUGCCUAAUAGGUAAAUAUUGAAAUGUAGAGCACCGGGAUUGCACGAAAGAAGAAGGGGUGCAGUUAACUCAUGAGGAUUGAGUAGCAAGAGAAUGACCACAGGUAUCUUGGCCCAUAUGGGCUCCUGUAAGAAAAUAAUAAUACAUAGACUGGGUGGCAUAUAAACAACGGACAUUCACCUCGCGUGUCUCUGGAGGCUGGAAGUCCAAGGUCGCGACAGAUCCAGAGUCUGGUGAGAGCUGCCUCCUGGUUCAUAGACAUCACAGGGGAAAGCACAGGGGGCCUGGGGUCUUCUCUGUGAGGUCGAUGAUCACAUCAUGGGGCCUCUGCCUCUUGGCCCUCUCACCUCCCACAGGCCCUAACUCCUAACACCAUCAUCUUGGGGGUUAAGUUUCAACAUCUGCAUUUGCAGGGGACACAAAUAUUCAGUCUGUAGUAGCAGGACACCCUUUUUUUUUGUACCUUUGUUUACCUCAAACACCAGCCUUUAGAGUGAAAGAACCUUGUAGUCCAGAUGGCCGUGAGGUGCUUCAGACCAGGGAUUUAACAGUUUCCGGCAGUGGCAGAGAAAGGACAGUUCCCACGGGGAGAAGGGGCAGAAUGCCUCACGUCAGAAAUGAAGAACCACUCCUCUAUGUGACAGAUGACAAGGCUGAGUCCCUCAGUGGCCGCCCAAGGCUGGCUUGUGCCAAGUGGCAGAUUGAAGACACAUUCUCCUUGAGAGCUAGGAAUGGAAGCGGAUCUCGUCUGGGGAGAGGAAGGAGGUGUCUAUCUUUGCUCUCCGAAAAGUGAAUCAAUCUAAGUCAAUCGCUCUCACUGCCUACAUGUGAAGACCUACAGAGGUCACUCCCCACAAACCCGCCCUGACUCCUACCCUGGCUUCUGGAAAAUUUCCGACUCCAGCAGCCAUUCUGGCCAACAAGAGCGGGGCCAGGUCCACUCGGUUUGUCUAACACAGGUUUCAACUAAGGCACAAUCAACAGGGUCACAAAAAGUUGUAGGAAUUCAGGGUGAUGGAUGUACUUGGCAUAUAGAUAUGAAGGGAGCUCAACAACGUGUGGUGAACUGAACUGGUAUUUUACUUUGUGAGAGGGAGGUAUGCCCGUGUUUAAGCUGAUUCUACUCAUUUAAACAUGGAGUUUUCCUGCAACUGAA
Long non-coding RNA from Felis catus (domestic cat), 3379 nucleotides. RefSeq lists it as uncharacterized. The transcript has 2 exons. NCBI's taxonomy places the organism in Eukaryota, Metazoa, Chordata, Mammalia, Carnivora, Felidae. The record is from RefSeq and is a predicted model, not a curated record.